This 253-nucleotide ribosomal RNA is filed under the name uncultured bacterium. RNAcentral's name for it is "partial 16S ribosomal RNA". It matches the Rfam family "Bacterial small subunit ribosomal RNA", at positions 524 to 776 of the family's 1533-position model. The record is from RNAcentral.
UCCGGCGGGGGCUAGCGUUGUUCGGAAUCACUGGGCGUAAAGCGCACGUAGGCGGACCAUUAAGUCGGGGGUGAAAUCCCGGGGCUCAACCCCGGAACUGCCUUCGAUACUGGCGGUCUGGAGGUCGAGAGAGGCGAGUGGAAUUCCGAGUGUAGAGGUGAAAUUCGUAGAUAUUCGGAGGAACACCAGUGGCGAAGGCGGCUCGCUGGCUCGAUACCGACGCUGAGGUGCGAAAGCGUGGGGAGAAAACAGG